Molecule: ribosomal RNA, 81 nt
Filed under: Catenulispora pinistramenti
Lineage: Bacteria; Bacillati; Actinomycetota; Actinomycetes; Catenulisporales; Catenulisporaceae
Description: Catenulispora sp. NL8 partial 23S ribosomal RNA
Rfam family: Bacterial large subunit ribosomal RNA
Source: RNAcentral
GGCCAAGUUUUUAAGGGCGCACGGUGGAUGCCUUGGCACCAGGAGCCGAUGAAGGACGUGGUAGGCCGCGAAAGGCCUCGG